RNAcentral lists this ribosomal RNA (308 nucleotides) under uncultured cyanobacterium. RNAcentral describes it as "bacterial SSU rRNA". It matches the Rfam family "Bacterial small subunit ribosomal RNA", at positions 28 to 351 of the family's 1533-position model. The record is from RNAcentral. Lineage: Bacteria; Bacillati; Cyanobacteriota.
GAUGAACGCUGGCGGUACGUCUGACGCAUGUAAGUCGAACGGGAUCCAGAGCUUCGGCUCUGGUGAGAGUGGCGAACGGCUGAGUAACACGUAGGAACCUACCCUCCGGAUCGGGAUAAUUCGCCGAAAGGCGGACUAAUACCGAAUAAUACCUUCGGGUUGAAAACUCCGGUGCCGGGGGAGGGGCCUGCGGACUAUUAGCUAGUUGGUGGGGUAAUGGCCUACCAAGGCGAUGAUGGUUAGGUGGUCUGAGAGGACGAUCACCCAGACUGGGACUGAGACACGGCCCAGACUCCUACGGGAGGCAG